UGACGCAUCCGUAGGCCCUGCGCACCCAGCCGGGUGAGCCCAACGGAGGCGCUCAUUGGUCCGGUCCACACCGCGGGCCACGCCCCCAGGCAGGAGCCGGUCCACGUGGGGCCAGACAGCCCCCUCCCUUCGGCCUCUUGCGGGCCUCCCUGCGCCGUCCGGCUACGCCGGCUGGCGACCGCGGGGUGCCCUCGCCUUGUCCCGGAGGUCGCCAUGCUUGCGGGGUUACAGAGGCUGCGACUAAGGUCAUUCCUGGUUCCUCCCUCGCAGGCCCUGUUUUGCAGCGCUGGCCGCCCCUCACGCCGCACUUUCGGCGCACUCGGGACCUGCUGCACCCGGUGGCCACACCCUUCCCGUCUGCCGGGUGACGCUGCGGGAAAGCCUGCGGCCUGAGGCUCCGGAUCCAGUUCUGGCACGUUAUCCCACCUGUGACUUGCUCUUGGCCGGGCACUGUCCCUCGCCUGGGGUAGGGGGAGGACGCUCACGUGGUGGCUUCAUGCACUCGGGUGAAAACAGAAGGACUUAAAAGUCACAAGAACCAGCCCGUCUUUCCAAUUAUAGCACAGAGCUACGGGAUGGCUGUGGGUCAUUAAUUUCCCUGUGGCGGUGGUGCGGCUGUGGCCGGGUGAAGGACACUGCUUCAGAUUCAAAUUCUGACUCUUUGCUGCAGUGUGUCACCUUGAGCAAGUUCCACAUCUCUCAGACUGCGUUCUCAGGGACGUGAAAUGUUAGCAGUCGGUACCUGCCCUGUGGUGGGAAUUACAUAAUUACACAGGGAAUUAACGCCUGUGCACGUGACUAGAACUCAGUAGAUGUUCAGGAAAUGCUGAUUUCCGUUUUGUCCUUUCCGUGAAUAUGCCUGUUUAAGGAUGUAGAAAAAGGUGUAAGGGGAUGUUCUCUUUGCAUCCUGGAAGCUUUCUUAUCCUUUUGAGGUGGAGAUUGAUUUCUGGUCCCCUAUGUUGUGUAUCAUAUAGUUUUGACAUUAAGGGACACAGUCAAGGAAAUGCAUCUGAGGUCACUGUUCACAGUGCAUGAAGUCAGUAUCCUGGAAAUAGUCUGCUUGGAGGAGGGGGACUCAGUGGGCUUGGACACAUUGUGAAGCCAGAUCAGGAACAAAGGCAGCUUCAGAGGCCACCCAUGAGGACUUGAAUGGGAGCAGGGGAGAGAACAUCCAGGUAAGAGAAGAUGAAGAAAGGGAGGCACAGAGAAGGAGGCAAGAGGUAAAGCAGUGAAGAAUCUAACAAAUUUAAAAAUUCCCUGUAUCCAGGUACCAUACGCUCGAGGGGAGGCACAGCCAGAGAGAAGGGGACGCUCCAGAAGGCGCUGCAGCUUAAUCCUGAUCUAAUCCUGCCUUGGAAGCAAAGCUCUUGUCCCUUCAGUAAUGACAGCUUCUCCCCACUCCUAGGACCAUGGCUUUCCACCGACGAGU
Non-coding RNA from Microcebus murinus (gray mouse lemur), 1429 nucleotides. Lineage: Eukaryota; Metazoa; Chordata; Mammalia; Primates; Cheirogaleidae. The record is from RefSeq and is a predicted model, not a curated record.